Long non-coding RNA from Heterocephalus glaber (naked mole-rat), 1642 nucleotides. RefSeq lists it as uncharacterized. Lineage: Eukaryota; Metazoa; Chordata; Mammalia; Rodentia; Bathyergidae. The record is from RefSeq and is a predicted model, not a curated record.
CGCCCCCAGCGAUGCCGCUUCUGGCCAGGCCCCGCCUCCCAACAGCCAGCCUGCUGUAGCAGCCGCGUAAUUCAAUGGCCUUCCGAAGCCCUGCCUUGAACACGAAGCUCCUGAGGGGCGUCCAGGACACCAUCGGGCUUUAGCUCAGUGGUGCCGCGUUGGCCUUGCAAGGGCAAGGUUCUGAGUUCGAUGCCCAGUACCAAAAAAAAAAAAAGGACACCAGCAAGGAAGUGAAAAGACAAUCACAGAAACUUUCUGCGAGCCAGAUGCAAGCGUUCUGUGUUUCUCUGCAUCCUGCUCCAGAAAUGCCCCACGAACGCGGCUGUCUUGACCGCACUGCCCCAUGCAGCUUCAGUGCGUCCUGAGCUCUCUAAAGCAGCUCCCUUCACCCCUGGGGACCUGCGUAGGGCUCGCAGGACCCCGUGCACGGCCACCACCCCGGGCAGAGGGAUCUAGACCUGACUUGGAAGCCAGCGCCCUUGCACCUUGUGGAGGUCCACAUGCACAGCCAGGCUGCAGUCGAUUCCCUCCUGUUCCUCCCUCGCUGGGCUGUGUGUGCGCAUGCGUAAGGUUGGGGCCGUCUUUGCCCACAGCUGGACUUGUCACCCCGUGUCACCAUGGCCUUCGCUGUCCUCCAGGCUCCUGGAAUAGGAGCCAUUUCUCUCCUCUGUGAUCUCGCUGCUUCUCGCGAUGGAUUCGGGACGGCUUCCUUAGAGGCCUCGCCUAGUUUUGACAGCCUUACGUGAGCUUUACAGAUCCCAGGCGCAGUCAGUUUCUGGAAGAGGGAAAGUAGACAUUGGCGGGGGUCUCCACCAAGAGCCAUGAGAACAAGCUGCAUAAAGCAAGCCCGGAGAGCGCCUCAUUGCAUGGCCAAAUUUGUUCUUAAAUGUGACCUAAUAUUGCUGGGCAGCUGGCUUUUGGCUGAGGCUGGGGAAACUUCAAUUAAAUUCCUGUUUUAGGGCCCAAACUUACAGAUUAUUAAUGAAAGCUCUCGGCUGGGCUUACUGCAUCCGUUGUGAGAAAGACUAAAUGAAUGGACAGACACGCAAACUCACACAUGCAUGCACACUCAGGCACGGGGCUGGAGCAGGGAGCGGGACACUGGGACAUGUUUCCCAUCCAGCCACCGUGGAGUCCCAGGCUGUGCCUCCUUCCCUGCCCUCCUCCUCCUCUCUGGCCCCCGAUUCCUUCCGGAGCUGUCCCUACCCAACUGCCCGGGCUCCCUCCUUCAGUGCCCCUCAGGGCAGGAGGAAGAGGUCUUCGGCCCUGAGAACCACCAGUGUUGAGGAUCUGGACCUCAGGCGAAUGCUGCAGCCCUUCUGAGUCUUUGUGGUGAACUUCAGAGAGCUCAAUCCACGCUUUAGAUGCUGCAGCUUAUUUAACCCAAAUAUCCAAAAUAGCAUUUCGCCACUUAAUCAUGUACAUGAAAUCUUCUGAGAAUGCCUGUAUUUCCUUCUGUCUUAGACUUCUCGAGUAUCUUUUAUACUGUACUUGCAAUAGAUCCCCAAACAGAUUACAUUCCCAUCGGAGCUGUGCCGUCUGUGUAUGAAUCUCGUGAACCUAACAGCUGAGGAGUGACACCCACACACCCAAGAGGUUCGAAAGAUACCCGAGUUUUCCAAUGGCUGGACAUCAGCUUUAA